RNAcentral lists this transfer RNA (62 nucleotides) under Cavia porcellus (domestic guinea pig). It matches the Rfam family "tRNA", at positions 6 to 65 of the family's 71-position model. Rfam says of the family: Transfer RNA (tRNA) molecules are approximately 80 nucleotides in length. The record is from Rfam by way of RNAcentral. Lineage: Eukaryota; Metazoa; Chordata; Mammalia; Rodentia; Caviidae.
UAUAGCUCAGCAGCACAAGCAUCUGCCUGGCAAGCACAAGGUCCUGAGUUUAAUUCUCAGUA